Molecule: small nucleolar RNA, 138 nt
Filed under: Myotis davidii
Lineage: Eukaryota; Metazoa; Chordata; Mammalia; Chiroptera; Vespertilionidae
Description: Small nucleolar RNA SNORA17
Rfam family: Small nucleolar RNA SNORA17
About the family: snoRNA ACA 17 belongs to the H/ACA family of snoRNAs and is predicted to guide pseudouridylation of the 28S rRNA at positions U4659 and U4598.
Source: Rfam by way of RNAcentral
ACUGCCCCUAGAGGCGUUGCAGGUGUGGCUGCCGUGUCCCGCCUGCGUCAUUAGGUGGCAGAGAGGAGAGAGGCUCCCCUACACCCAGUGGUCAGGCCUUCAGGCCGUGGGCGCCUGGAUGGUUGACAGCCUGACAAG